Molecule: long non-coding RNA, 540 nt
Filed under: Ursus maritimus (polar bear)
Lineage: Eukaryota; Metazoa; Chordata; Mammalia; Carnivora; Ursidae
Description: lncRNA (ENSUMAG00000022470.1)
Source: RNAcentral
UGACGACCGGGGUCUCCCCCUUGGGUUCUGUUCAUGUGUCUGAUUUACCAGACACUGACCAAAUAGGGCAGGAAACUCCUCCGUCUGGGGGCUGCUCCAGAAAUCCAGCCCCCUCUAAUGACAGUCUCCUCGCCGCUCCCUACGUCUUUCCCUCUGCGGGGACCGUCCAGAAAACGGGGCUUGAGACCCAAAGGAGUCCGAGAGAAAAGGAGGGGGGUUGCUUAAUCCGAAAUGAACACCCCCGGGUUCUGGAAUCAGAGUGAGAGGCGCUGGCAAUGGACUAGGAAGCUCGGCUGCCGCUGCUACUGCUCCCCCCUGGGCUCCGGCGAGAGCCUUUCCCUGUCAAGCAAGAGGGCCAAGAAGGCAGGGCUGCCGGGGCUGCACAAGAAGAGGCAGCAGCCUCCUACAGCACCACUACAGGCACUGCGAGGACAUAACACCAGAGAGCCGCUCCUCUGCCCUCCGAAACGACAACUUUCCUACCAUCUUGGAGGCAGAGGAAAGGGGGGCCGGGGGGAAAAGUGCACCCGCUCCCGAUAA